Xenia sp. Carnegie-2017 is the source of this 660-nucleotide long non-coding RNA. RefSeq lists it as uncharacterized. The transcript has 3 exons. Lineage: Eukaryota; Metazoa; Cnidaria; Anthozoa; Malacalcyonacea; Xeniidae. The record is from RefSeq and is a predicted model, not a curated record.
GACUUUCUUCUUUCAAGGUGUACAUGUGGUCAUUGUCAAAUAAUGGACAGACAUGAAGAAUGUAUAUGUUGCAAAGAGAUUGCUGCUUGCAGGGAUAUUAAUGAAGAGUCAGCUGAAUUCGAGGGUAUUGAUGUUCCAGAAUGUAUCACUGACAACCCUGUAUUCCAAAAUUUAUGUUUAAAUUACUGGGUAUUGAGAUUGGCGUGGAGUCAAUACAAGCAGCAGUAUGGGAAAAAUGCUUUUGAAGGACCAGAGCAUAAGAGGCAAAGGCAUGUUGCUUACAGACAAUUUGUAAGAUGGUGUUGGGGAAUUUUGGGAAAAGAAAUAAGGAAUCCUUUGCCAUCUUGUGCUGUUUGUUGUAUUCGGGCACAUUUCCCUCCACCUGGUCUAGAAGAAGAUUUUGUAUUUAAAGGUUUUGAAUUUGCUGAUGAGUGAUGCAGUGUUUGAAUUAUGAUCAAUCACAGCCAAUUGGGUUCUUGCAACCAUGCCAUUGUAUGAAAAAUGAAGGCGUUUUGGAACAUAUUUCAAUAGUAAUGAAUGGUACACUUCCAGGUUGCCAGUGUGAUGGAAUUCUAAAGCUUCUCGUGUGAACACUUCCUAAAAUACUUACCACUUUUCCAUUGGUGUAUGUUUAUAACAUGAUUCAAAAUAGACACCCAC